GGGCCUUUAGCUCAGUCGGUUAGAGCAGCUGACUCAUAAUCAGUUGGUCCCUGGUUCAAGUCCAGGAAGGCCCA
This 74-nucleotide transfer RNA is filed under the name Candidatus Omnitrophota bacterium. Its description in RNAcentral is "tRNA-Ile". It matches the Rfam family "tRNA". Rfam says of the family: Transfer RNA (tRNA) molecules are approximately 80 nucleotides in length. Their secondary structure includes four short double-helical elements and three loops (D, anti-codon, and T loops). Further hydrogen bonds mediate the characteristic L-shaped molecular structure. tRNAs have two regions of fundamental functional importance: the anti-codon, which is responsible for specific mRNA codon recognition, and the 3' end, to which the tRNAs corresponding amino acid is attached (by aminoacyl-tRNA synthetases). tRNAs cope with the degeneracy of the genetic code in two manners: having more than one tRNA (with a specific anti-codon) for a particular amino acid; and 'wobble' base-pairing, i.e. permitting non-standard base-pairing at the 3rd anti-codon position. Lineage: Bacteria; Pseudomonadati; Candidatus Omnitrophota. The record is from RNAcentral.